Molecule: ribosomal RNA, 678 nt
Filed under: bacterium 42-L049659-122-016-B06
Lineage: Bacteria
Description: bacterial SSU rRNA
Rfam family: Bacterial small subunit ribosomal RNA
Source: RNAcentral
UGCAGUCGAACGCUGAAGCCCAGCUUGCUGGGUGGAUGAGUGGCGAACGGGUGAGUAACACGUGAGUAACCUGCCCUUCACUCUGGGAUAACUCCGGGAAACCGGUGCUAAUACUGGAUAGGACUCCUGCCUGCAUGGGUGGGGGUGGAAAGAUUUAUCGGUGGAGGAUGGACUCGCGGCCUAUCAGCUUGUUGGUGGGGUAAUGGCCUACCAAGGCGACGACGGGUAGCCGGCCUGAGAGGGUGACCGGCCACACUGGGACUGAGACACGGCCCAGACUCCUACGGGAGGCAGCAGUGGGGAAUAUUGCACAAUGGGCGAAAGCCUGAUGCAGCGACGCCGCGUGCGGGAUGACGGCCUUCGGGUUGUAAACCGCUUUCAGUAGGGACGAAGCUCUUGUGACGGUACCUACAGAAGAAGCACCGGCUAACUACGUGCCAGCAGCCGCGGUAAUACGUAGGGUGCGAGCGUUGUCCGGAAUUAUUGGGCGUAAAGAGCUUGUAGGCGGUUUGUCGCGUCUGCUGUGAAAGCCCGGGGCUUAACCCUGGGUCUGCAGUGGGUACGGGCAGGCUAGAGUGUGGUAGGGGAGACUGGAAUUCCUGGUGUAGCGGUGGAAUGCGCAGAUAUCAGGAGGAACACCGAUGGCGAAGGCAGGUCUCUGGGCCACUACUGACGCUG